GUUGCCCUGUGUGUUGUGCCUUGGGCUCCACCGUGGGGAGAAAGCGGGUUAGCUUGGCAACUGCACCAUGUAGUGAAGAGGACUUGGAGCAGUUGAAAACAAUCAUCCCAAGUUGGUUGAGCAAUGCCUUCUCAAUCCCAGGCUUGCACCACACUGUCAAGUUGAUAAUUGACUUGAAUACUUACUCCUUCCUCUGCUGUCCAGUGCUGGGAAGACAGUUCUGCAGCUC
Long non-coding RNA from Microtus oregoni (creeping vole), 229 nucleotides. RefSeq lists it as uncharacterized. Lineage: Eukaryota; Metazoa; Chordata; Mammalia; Rodentia; Cricetidae. The transcript has 3 exons. The record is from RefSeq and is a predicted model, not a curated record.